UUAAUGAGAGUUUGAUCCUGGCUCAGGAUGAACGCUGGCGGCGUGCCUAAUACAUGCAAGUAGAACGCUGAAGCUUGGUGCUUGCACCGAGCGGAUGAGUUGCGAACGGGUGAGUAACGCGUAGGUAACCUGCCUCUUAGCGGGGGAUAACUAUUGGAAACGAUAGCUAAUACCGCAUAAAAGUCGAUAUCGCAUGAUGUUGAUUUGAAAGGUGCAAUUGCAUCACUAAGAGAUGGACCUGCGUUGUAUUAGCUAGUUGGUGAGGUAACGGCUCACCAAGGCGACGAUACAUAGCCGACCUGAGAGGGUGAUCGGCCACACUGGGACUGAGACACGGCCCAGACUCCUACGGGAGGCAGCAGUAGGGAAUCUUCGGCAAUGGGGGCAACCCUGACCGAGCAACGCCGCGUGAGUGAAGAAGGUUUUCGGAUCGUAAAGCUCUGUUGUAAGAGAAGAACGAGUGUGAGAGUGGAAAGUUCACACUGUGACGGUAACUUACCAGAAAGGGACGGCUAACUACGUGCCAGCAGCCGCGGUAAUACGUAGGUCCCGAGCGUUAUCCGGAUUUAUUGGGCGUAAAGCGAGCGCAGGCGGUUAGAUAAGUCUGAAGUUAAAGGCUGUGGCUUAACCAUAGUACGCUUUGGAAACUGUUUAACUUGAGUGCAGAAGGGGAGAGUGGAAUUCCAUGUGUAGCGGUGAAAUGCGUAGAUAUAUGGAGGAACACCGGUGGCGAAAGCGGCUCUCUGGUCUGU
Molecule: ribosomal RNA, 752 nt
Filed under: Salmonella enterica
Lineage: Bacteria; Pseudomonadati; Pseudomonadota; Gammaproteobacteria; Enterobacterales; Enterobacteriaceae
Description: bacterial SSU rRNA
Rfam family: Bacterial small subunit ribosomal RNA
Source: RNAcentral